CUUCAAACAAAAACAAAGAAAGUAUAUAACGAAGUAGGCUGUAUAUACCUUGCAACGAGAGCAUAAUUUCACACCAUGAAAGGUGAAAUUGUCUAUAAGGAUCUCUGUCCAUAAGUCCUCAGCAAAUGGUUCACAUCCAUCAACCAAGAUGCUGUGACAAGAAAGUUGAUCAAGUGUUGUUACAAAGCAAUAAUUUGAAACAAACAUACUUGGGUCUGAAUCGGCUGAUCGGUACAGGCUUCUUGAGAAGCUCAUUCAGGGCAUCAAGGGAACCCUAUAAAACGUAAUGUAACUAUUCUGAGCAGAACAAGAACCCAAGCAACUUCCUCGUUCAUGGUGACUGACCUGUGAUAUAAGCAAGAAAGGGUACAUAUCUGAGAACAUCGCAAAGUGACCUGGAGCGUAGUUUGGAUCCACAGGUCUUGUCUCAGAGUCUGCAAAACAAACAGCAAAGCACGCAUGAAGCUAAAGCUAUAAAAGGAUCAACUGAUUAUGACAUGAAAAUGUAAAAAACCUGAAUCAAAACGAACAAGUCGACAAGGCUUCCCAACAAAAGUUGUAAACCAGUUAGAGGCUUCCUCUCCUUCAUCAAGUGCGGAGCCAAACCACUCCCAGACUGAGACACCAUCGGCUAUUUUCUCAGGUUUAGCUAGUGAAACCAUAAGUACAUCCAUGCCAGGAGCUCUAACCACUGUAACACACACCCCCAAACAGAGAUGAGAAAAAAAAAAGAAUAUCUUAAAAAUUCAGUUGAAGAAUAAAAAGACAAAAUCUUACCCAUGUUAGAGUUGUUGUCGGGCUCCCAGUCCUGUGCAAACGCAUGUUUAGGCAUUUCAACUUCAAUCAAGGAAAGCUUUGGUUCCACUCUUUGAGUCAAUCCUCUUCCUUUAGAGUUCACAAUCAACCAGUUUCUAUCCCAUCGAAACCCUAACCAACCAAUCACACACAGACGUAUGCUUAAUGAUGAAGCAGUGAAGGAUCAACAGAGUGUGAAUACUGUGGAGUUAAAUGCAGAAAAAUAAAUGCAGAGUAAAGAUAUAGAAGAGUUGACUGGAGAAUAAACUGAUAUUUUCAACGAGUCAGAUUAAUUGCCACAAUUUUGACCUAACCACAAACAUAAAAUCACAUUGAUGGGAGAGUCUAAUCCAGUGAAUCAGAAAUGUUACUGUUAUGCAGUAUACCAGAAAGAUAAGAUUGAUAAAAUAGUCAAGGAGUUAUUACAGGCUGGGACAAUUCAACCUAGUUAUAGUACUUACGCUUUCCCGGUGGUACUAGUCAAGGAGAAGGAUACCCCAUGGAGGCUCUGUGUAGAAUAGAUAACGCUCAACAGUAUGACAAUUAAGGACAAGUUUCCUAUUCCUUAAAUAGAAGAUUUAAUGGUACGAGUUAGGAGGAUCCAGAGUAUACUCAAAGAUUGAUCUGCGAGCAAGUUAUCAUCAAGUUAGAAUGGUACUUGAGGACAUUCGUAAAACAACAUUUCGUACGCAUAAUGGUCAUUAUUAGUAUGUGGUGUUGUCUUUUGGGCUAACUAAUUCUCUAGCCAUUUUUCAAGGCUAGAUGAAUAAUGUUUUCAGAGACUAAUUGUGGAAGUUUGUCCUUAUUUUCUAUGACGACAUAUUGAUCUACAGCCCUAAUAUGACUGAGCAUCUUGUUUAUCUCAUGGUGGUAUUUGAACUGAUGAAGCAUAAUCAAUUGUAUGCUAAAAAGAGCAAGUGUCCUUUUGUAACAGCACGAGUACUGUAUUUGGGACACUUCAUUAAAGGAGUAUCAAUUGUGUAAACAUACCUGCGAAGACCAAGAGGCAUCCGAAAAUGAAUUGUUUAUUCCAUUAUGAGCUUCCACCUUGUGAAAAGCCAUGACCUAGGGGUGGGCAUUCGGGUUCGGAUCAGGUAUUUCAGAUUUUUGAGUAUUUCGGUGUAGAGGUAUAUAACCCGUUCGGGUAUUUCUGUAAUUCGGGACGGGUUCGGAUAUUUUUUGUUCAUAUUUAGCUAUUUCGGAUCGGGUUCGAAUAUUUAGAUUUUGAAAGAAAAAAACAUUAAAAUUAAAAUUUCAUUUUUCAAUUUUCUUGUAUUUAAAAAUAUAACUUUCACUUUACUAAUUUUUUUUUUUAUUUUUAAUAGAUAGAAUGGUUAAUAGAUUUGGACAUAACAUUUUAAAACUAAAAAAGACACUAAUUUGGUUAUUAUUUUUAAAUUUUGGAUGUAACUUUUGUUAAUUCUUGAAACAAAAACUUUACAUGCAUUUUAAGUAAGUAGCAAAUCAUUUCUCCCGUAAUUAUAUGUAGAUUAUAUGAACUUAAAGUAUAUAUAGUAUCAAUAUAAAUAUUUGAAAUAAAAUGAGAGAUAUAAACUAGAAAUAUAAGGUUAGUAAUACAUAUAUGUUCGGUUAUCUUCUGAUAUCCAUUCGGGUUAUUACCCGUUCGGGUUCAGAUAUCCAAUCUCUCAUAAUUCAAUACCCGUUCGGAUAUUUUGCUACUUUGGUUGGGAUUUCGGUUCGGGUUUUUCGGAUUGGGUUCGGAUACGGGUUUAGGUAUCGGGUAAAAUGCCCACCCCUAGCCAAAGGUUUGGUACUUCAGAACCAUGAGCCAUUUUGACUACUCUUAACAGACCAAAUGGAUCCUUUCCUAAUCAAGUGUUUCUUUACCCAAUUAACCCAUAAGGAAUAAUUACUUGAGAGAAUUUUUCAAAGUAGCUUUAAGCAACAGACUAUCUCUUUUAAGGGUCUCAGACUUAAUCAUCCUUCUGUCUUUAGCUUGCAUAUGUCGUUCGAACUGACUUUAGCCUUUUUUACAUUCAUUUUCGAGCCAUAACAUAAGAAGGCAGAGCAAAGUUUUUCAAUCUCUUCCAAGCAUUUACCCGAAAGUCUAAAAGCUGAUAACCAGAAAUUUGUUGUGAUUCUUUUCUAAGAACUUAACACACUGCUGGUUACUAGAGUUCAUUGUUGGAGAAAAUUCUUCUUAAUCCAUAAUCUUCUACAAUUUGAGCUAUGAAUCCACGUUUAAUGAAUGUUAAUUCGAUCAUAAAGGUGAACAUGUUUACUUUUAUCACAAGUCGUUCAUGUCCCUAGGCAAAUAGAUUCUUCCAAAAGGAAAAUACAUGGAACCAUUGCCGACUAAACUCAUAAUCAAUAUAUCGUGGAGAUUGCCGGCGAAGUAACUUGCUAGGUGUCGUAAAGUUUCGAAGACAUGGGGUUCUAUGCUUGAUUUUACACCUUGUAAGCCAUGUAGAGGAUCUUGUUAGCCAUGCGAAGCAACUCGAGUCGAGCAUAUCUAUUUUAAAGCAAUGGGCAACGUCAUUUGUUUCUCUAUCUUGGCGAUUUUCAUAUUUUCUGUCGGGUUUGUAUUUACAUUCCCUAGUUGUGUUACAUGUUACUUGGGAGCACACUAAUGUUUUAACCAAUAUUAAUAGGCUUUUCAUAAUGAUAAAGUUUAAAGGUUUGGGUUUGAUUGUCAGUAGAAAUGAUAUAUACAAGUGCUCUGAUAAAGCUUGGUGUCCUCGGAUAAACUUGCACAAUGUACAGAAUGCACAUUUUCUUGUUUUUUCAAGUUGCUGCUUCAGUAGGAGAGGAGAGUUUUCCAAGGACAAAAACAGAAUCACCAAUCUCGAUUGUUUUUGUUAUUCCAUCCCCAAACCCAUCUUUCAAAACCAUGUUCUGUCCAAAGUAUAUCUGCAUCAUCAUCAUCAUCAUUCAAAACUCCCAUAUUCAAUCAUUAUGACGAUAAACCCAACAAUGUUUUUUGAGUACCUUUCCCUGUGGUUUCUUCUGUGGCUGUAAGACUUUGUCUGAUCUGAAACUCCUCAGAGUCUCAAUUGGCUCUUCACCUCCAAUUCCAGUGUCUUGAUUUAUCGUCGGUACCUGAUCAUCCAAAACAAUUUAAAAGCUUACCCUUCAAACAAAAACAAAGAAAGUAUAUAACGAAGUAGGCUGUAUAUACCUUGCAACGAGAGCAUAAUUUCACACCAUGAAAGGUGAAAUUGUCUAUAAGGAUCUCUGUCCAUAAGUCCUCAGCAAAUGGUUCACAUCCAUCAACCAAGAUGCUGUGACAAGAAAGUUGAUCAAGUGUUGUUACAAAGCAAUAAUUUGAAACAAACAUACUUGGGUCUGAAUCGGCUGAUCGGUACAGGCUUCUUGAGAAGCUCAUUCAGGGCAUCAAGGGAACCCUAUAAAACGUAAUGUAACUAUUCUGAGCAGAACAAGAACCCAAGCAACUUCCUC
Molecule: long non-coding RNA, 4215 nt
Filed under: Brassica napus (rape)
Lineage: Eukaryota; Viridiplantae; Streptophyta; Magnoliopsida; Brassicales; Brassicaceae
Description: long non-coding RNA (BNAP_LNC023059)
Source: RNAcentral